Molecule: small nuclear RNA, 21 nt
Filed under: Arabidopsis thaliana (thale cress)
Lineage: Eukaryota; Viridiplantae; Streptophyta; Magnoliopsida; Brassicales; Brassicaceae
Description: snRNA_13874
Source: RNAcentral
UCCAAGACCAUUAAGGACCAU